UACAGAGGUGGCAAGCGUUGUUCGGAAUUACUGGGCGUAAAGGGCGCGUAGGCGGUCUUUUAAGUCUCGCGUGAAAUCCCUCGGCUUAACUGAGGAACUGCACGGGAUACUGGAUGACUUGAGUUCGGGAGAGGGAAGCGGAAUUCCGGGUGUAGCGGUGAAAUGCGUAGAUAUCCAGAGGAACACCGGUGGCGAAGGCGGCUUCCUGGACCGACACUGACGCUGAGGCGCGAAAGCUAGGGGAGCAAACGGG
RNAcentral lists this ribosomal RNA (253 nucleotides) under uncultured bacterium. RNAcentral describes it as "partial 16S ribosomal RNA". It matches the Rfam family "Bacterial small subunit ribosomal RNA", at positions 524 to 776 of the family's 1533-position model. The record is from RNAcentral.